This 85-nucleotide transfer RNA is filed under the name Felis catus (domestic cat). It matches the Rfam family "tRNA". Rfam says of the family: Transfer RNA (tRNA) molecules are approximately 80 nucleotides in length. Their secondary structure includes four short double-helical elements and three loops (D, anti-codon, and T loops). Lineage: Eukaryota; Metazoa; Chordata; Mammalia; Carnivora; Felidae. The record is from Rfam by way of RNAcentral.
GUCUGGGUGGCUCAGUCAGUUAAGUGUCUGACUUCGGCUCAGGUCAUGAUCCCAGGGUUCAUGAGUUCAAGCCUCAUCUUGGGCU